Pseudopipra pipra is the source of this 1893-nucleotide long non-coding RNA. RefSeq lists it as uncharacterized. NCBI's taxonomy places the organism in Eukaryota, Metazoa, Chordata, Aves, Passeriformes, Pipridae. The record is from RefSeq and is a predicted model, not a curated record. The transcript has 5 exons.
UCAGAGCUACUGAGAGACUUGCAGUGGCCAACACCAAGCUCUUUUUGGAGCGCCACAGAAGCAGAUCUGCAGUCCCAAGCAGCGCUGUCAGCGGAGUUCUGGCUGCAAGUCCACUUCUGGAUUCACCUGGCCUGGGACAUGUUGGCGUCAGUUUGGGACUGAGCAGAAGUCUGGCUCUCAGAACACCACCCAGACACCUGUGGUAAAGCCCAAGACUUCUGCUCAUCAGGACAUCCUGUAAGGGACCAUUCAGAUGGAUGGAACAAAUUGCUUCCUUUCCUUAAUUUCGACAUCCACGGCCUAGUAGCCAGUUUCCUUAAUGGUGGCCUUCAAGGUUUGGUAGCAAAGACUCCAAGAUCAGCUCUAACCCAUCCCUACAUUGUUCAGCGACAAUGAUCCUAGUGGUGAAGGCAGCGAAAAUGCUACUUAAAAUUGGAGAGGUGGUGCUGCAUUGGUCCCCUUGUUGUACGAAAGGAAUCGCUGGAGCUUUGGGGACAAGAAGUGCCAACGGCCACGACAACUGUACACAGGCAACAGUAUCGGAGGAACCGAGAUGCUGUGACCCCCAUCCAUACAUCCAGUACAUCCAUGACAUCAUUGUGUGGGGGGACACAGCAGAAGAAGUUUUCGAGAAAGGACAGAAGAUCAUCCAGAUUCUCCUCGAGGCCUGUUUUGCCAUCAAGAAGAGUAAGGUCAAGGGCCCUGCCCAAGAGAUCCAGUUCCUAGGGCUGAAAUGGCAAAUGGACACCACCAGAUACCAACAGACGUCAUCAACAAGAUUGUAGCCAUGGCUCCACCCACAAACAAGAAAGAAACCCAAGCUUUUCUGGGAGCCAUUGGCUUCUGGAGGAUGCACAUCCCAGAGUACAGCCAGAUGGUGAGCCCUCUUUACUUUGUGACCCGUGAAAAGAACAAUUUCCAGUGGGGUCCUGAACAACAACAAGCUUUCAGGCAGAUCAAGCAAGAGAUUGCACAUGCCGUGGCUGUUGGAGCAGUCAGGACAGGACCAGAGGUAAAGAAUGUGCUCUACUCUGCAGCUGGAGAUAAAGGUCCCUCCUGGAGCCUCUGGCCAAAGGUGCCUGGUGAGACGUGAGGGCGACCACUGGGUUUCUGGAGCCGAAGCUACAGAGGUUCUGAGGCCAAUUCCACCCCUGUGGAGAAGGAAAUCUUAGCAGCCUAUGAAGGCAUACGAGCAGCUUCAGAGCUUUCAGAUUCAGCAAUGUCCUCACUCCUGACAGACCAGGGUCCCUUUCCAGAGUAAUGGAGGAGCACCGUGAUUUUUUAAUCCAAAAUUCCCGGAUUUGAAUGAAAUGCUCUGGAAAGGCUCUGGAAAUCAUUGGGUGUUCACAAUCAUCAAUGAAGAUGUUCACCAGGAAUUGCUGAUCACUGGCCUCCAGCUGGAUGUUGCACUCCUGAUCACCACCCCGGCCAGCAGAUUUCAACCAGCCUGCUGUCUGCUCAUCCAGCCCAUACUUCAUGGGCUUCUCUGUGAGGGAGCCCUGUCUGUGUCCACUAGUACACACAUUCAUUUGGAUUUUAAACAAUCAAACAGAAGUGAGUGUUUUAACAGCAGAAUUAUUUUUCAAAGGGAAAUAGAAGGGUAUGGCUUUGAUGGAACGAGUGCCUUCAAGCUCCAUUGGCAGGCACUGUUUGAAAACUGUUUGGGUGAUUUUUGAUAAGAAAUGGAAGAUACAAUGGCAGGAAGCCAUUCAGCAAUCCCUGACAAGGGAGGUCCACUGUCAAUUGCUGGGAGGGCCCCCACCUGUUUCUUUUAAUGGUGCUCCCAAAUCCCACCCCUUGGGCCUCCCAUCCCAUCCUUUUUGGUCCCCUCAGGCAUCUCCUCCCCAGGAUCUGCUCUGUGUCCUACCCAGGGUCCCCAGACAUCCUCCCACU